ACUUGCGGCACUUUCUGACAAUUGUGUAUACUGCAACCUAAAAAGUCCAGAUGCAGGAAAAUUUUAACAGUGCUGCGAUGAUACGCCUUUAUAGAAUGUACCAGGUCGUACACAUCCCGUCAAAAUUUUCUAUAUGCAUUAAGGGUAAUGCGAUUACACCGAAGCAGCUACAUACGUACAAAUACCAAAGCCUAAUGUGCGAAGAUUAUGAAGUUAUGUAGGUGAUCUACAUAUGUAUAUAUUAAUGCAACAAGCAGAUCGAAUAGGAUCAUAAUGAUCGCUACAACAGCCACCGGCCUUAUAAAGCGGGGAGCGAUGAAAUUGUUGAUAAACACAGGAAAUUUAAAUGAUAUAAUGCCUGUUCUUGUAGCAAAUAAUUACAUAAAUUACUGGAAAUAUUUUAACUUGCAACAUAUUGCCAGUAAGAAAAACAGCUGAUCGCUUGUUGGUGGGUGCAAUUAAAACUAAUAAAGCAA
Rhagoletis zephyria (snowberry fruit fly) is the source of this 476-nucleotide long non-coding RNA. RefSeq lists it as uncharacterized. The record is from RefSeq and is a predicted model, not a curated record. Lineage: Eukaryota; Metazoa; Arthropoda; Insecta; Diptera; Tephritidae.